This 465-nucleotide ribosomal RNA is filed under the name uncultured bacterium. RNAcentral's name for it is "partial 16S ribosomal RNA". It matches the Rfam family "Bacterial small subunit ribosomal RNA", at positions 338 to 795 of the family's 1533-position model. The record is from RNAcentral.
CCUACGGGAGGCAGCAGUAGGGAAUCUUCCACAAUGGGCGAAAGCCUGAUGGAGCAACGCCGCGUGGGUGAAGAAGGUCUUCGGAUCGUAAAACCCUGUUGUUAGAGAAGAAAGUGCGUGAGAGUAACUGUUCACGUUUCGACGGUAUCUAACCAGAAAGCCCCGGCUAACUACGUGCCAGCAGCCGCGGUAAUACGUAGGUGGCAAGCGUUAUCCGGAUUUAUUUGGCGUAAAGGGAACGCAGGCGGUCUUUUAAGUCUGAUGUGAAAGCAUUCGGCUUAACCGGAGUAGUUCAUUUGAAACUGGGAGACUUGAGUGCAGAAGAGGAGAGCGGAACUACAGGUGUAGCGGUGAAAUGCGUAGAUAUAUGGAAGAACACCAGUGGCGAAAGCGGCUCUCUGGUCUGUAACUGACGCUGAGGUUCGAAAGCGUGGGUAGCAAACAGGAUUAGAUACCCCUGUAGUC